Myotis davidii is the source of this 5585-nucleotide long non-coding RNA. RefSeq lists it as uncharacterized. The record is from RefSeq and is a predicted model, not a curated record. Lineage: Eukaryota; Metazoa; Chordata; Mammalia; Chiroptera; Vespertilionidae. The transcript has 8 exons.
GCUGAGCCUCGGCCCCUAACGAAGUGCUCUCCCCCUACUGACCCCGCCUUCACUCAACCCCCUUCCUUUUACCAGGCCCGCACUCCACUAGCUCCUCCCCUUCACCACGUCCCCUCUGAGUCCCCACAUCGGCACUCACCCGCCCCAGACCUCAGAAACGUAUACGCUGGUCUCUUUCUCAGACCCUCGCCCCAGAACUAGACACACUGACCCCGUCCACCUGAUGGGUACCCCUCUGCCCUUCCCCAGUAGCCCUGCCCUCCCCACCCCUCUGUGAGUGGCCUGGGUUGGAGGGGUUUGCCAGGGUCUCAUCUGUGGUUCCUCCUCCCCUGUCCUGAGUGAGACCCUGGCAAUCGUCUGGGGACCCAACUAACCCCGUCCACUGUCUGUCCUUCUUUCUCCCCUGGCCCUCAGCAAAAAGAGGAGACUAGACUCGGAGUGCAGCUGUGGGAGCUCCUCACCCCUGCGCAAGAAGAAGAAGAGUGUGAAGAAGCACCGCAAAGACAGGUCUGAUUCUGGGUCCAGGAGGAAGAGACGGCACAGAUCUCGAAGCCCCAAGAGCAAAAGAAAAGAGAAGAACAAAGAGAGGAAGAGGCCACACGAGUCCCCAGGCCGGAGGUCCCAUCGCCACAGCAGUGGAAGUUCCCACAGCCCCUCACUCUCCUCCCAGGACAGUGAUUCCAGAUCGCCCAGCAGGCUGAGCCCCAAGCCCCGAGGCGAAGGUCGGAAGACGGGCAGCCAGCGGUCCAGCGGGAGCCGAUCGCCUUCCCUGUCAGGCGGCAGCGGAUGGGGGUCGCCCCAGCAGAACGGAGGCAGCCGGCAGCGGAGCGGAGCGCAGGGGGGCCGCCCGGGCUUGGCGCAGAGCCCGCCAGAUGUAGGUAUCCCAGCUCAGCUGUGCGCUCGCUCGCUCCCAUCUCCAGAUAAGCCCUGCCACGCUGCUUGGUUUGAAUGUGGUUUUCUUCCUCUUUCUCUCAGUCUCACUCUGGUUGGUUUUCUUCCCUUCCCUUUUCUUUCUUUAUUUUAGUGACUACUCAUUUGUAACUUGCAUUUUCUCCAAAUGAGCUACACAGCUGUGUUUCCUGGUUUGUCGUUUGGUUUUCUUGAGUACCUCCCCCCACCCCCCAACAACAAGUUUUCUGGUUCAUUCCUCCCUCAUUCCCACCUUCUCUGCUCCUUCUUCCUCUCCACCCCACCUCCCAAUCCUCCUUCAUGCUCUCUCUCAUUUUGUUGUCUGAAUGCAUUUCUGUGUGGUUUAGCAUUCCAAGUUUGUGUUCCCAUCCUGAACUCUAUGCUGUGGUUGAGCCAAUUUGAUUUCUGUUGUCUGGAGUAACUGCUAAGCCUCUCACCCCUCACCCCUGCCAGCCCCUGGGGUGACUUGAGCACUAAAUCUUUGUUGGAGGGGCCUGUGCUGGGCCUUUGCCCUCCGGAUCCUGGAGGAAGUUCUGGCUGAGGUCAGGCCUGGGAAGAGAGCCCUUUCCCAUCCUCUGGGGCCUGCUGGGCUCCUGCAGGUGCUGCCCUGGCUGAAGGCAGAGCUUUAGGGUGGGAGCUGCAGGACUUUGGGGCAGCAGCUGACACCAGGACUAAAUCCCACAGCUCCAUUUUGGGGUGUGAUGGUGGUUGGGCUUUGGGUGGGGAGUGAACUGCAGGAGUAGGCACUGGACUUGUAAGUUCUACUUAGAAAAGUCUCUGUGGGGGGUGGAAGGAACUCUCAGCUAACCCUCUGCGCUCUGGCCCACUACCCAAUCUAGAAAGGGGCUCCCUCCUUCCCCCAGCAUCCUUCCACCUUCCAAAUUUGAGUUUAAUGUGCAGAAUGAUCCAGAAAGAAUAGUCAGUGGAGGCCACAGAUCCCCAAGGUUAGGGCAGAACUAGGCUAGGUCCUGGGAUUUGUGUCUUCCAGCCAGCGCUCAUCCAGUCACAGAGGUAGGUCCUCAAAGAUCUCAUCUCCCCAUCUCUGCCCUUUAAACUGUUUUCUUCCCACCUAGAAGCAGCUACAGAAGUUUGACAUCCCAACUCUGUGAGGCCUCCCUGGACCUCAUCUUUGAUAAAAGAAGGGCUCAUCUUCCCCCAUGUUGACCCCAGGGGCAAGUCCCCAGUAGCUCAUCAUCUCAGAACAUUCUUCAAUCCUGGUGGUGCUAGGAGGGCAGACAAGGAAAUUGUUCAUGGAGGGAGAGAGCGCUGCUGGUCCGAUGGAGGAGUGGAGGCCCCUCCUCAAGGAGUACCUGAUGCGACCAGGCACCCAGACACAGGAUCCUCAAGUGCUGAGCUGGAGGGGCUAAUUGCCCCAGAUGCUCACUUAUUCUAAUCUGUAGGAAUACCAGGCUCAGGCAACCACACUGUCCCUUGCUGCUCUCUUCCCCUUGUCUUUCCACCUCAAAAAUUCCUUACAUAAGCAAAAAGAAAAGAUGUUGGAUAGGAAGUCAGUGAUCACCCAAUAUCUUUGUACUUUUUUCUCUCCAAAUUAACUGAAUCAAAUGGUUGUUUAGGUAUCAUAUAAAUUGAACCCGAGGUAAAGUUUUAUUAAAACAAUUAAGAAACUUAAAAAAAAAAAGAUAUCUGGGAGCCGUGGUACCAAGGAGCAGAGGGGCUCCUGGGAGUGGGGCUCAGAGCCAGGUGAGGUCUGGCCUUACUCACUCAUCCAUCCAUUCACACACACACACACCCAGCAGGCAUUUGCUGAGCACUCCUCCGCGCCAGGCCCUGUCUGAGUAUCCAUGCCAGGGUCGAGGCAGGCAGACCUGAGAGGGGACAAGCUGAACCAUGGAUGGGGAGCUCUGCCCAUCAGGGUAGCCCCAGCCCUAGCACAUGCUGGCACAACCCAAACUGAAGGAAGGAACAAGGGUCUGUGGGAUCAGAGAGGAGUGCGCCUGACUCAGGGUGAGGCUCAGGAGAGGCUUCCUGGAGGUGGUGGCCUUGGGCUGACUGUAAAGAAGAAAGAAACAUUAACCAGGCGGUGAGAGAGUGGAGAGGGAAGAAGGGAGAAUAGUUCCAGGCAAGAGUGACAGGACUCACACAGAACAGGCUUUGAGAGAUACGUGGUGGUCCCUGGCCACCAGUCCUAUCUGGCAAUGAGAUCCAUGGUGUCUGGGCCCGUAUCUUCCUCAAUUCCUGAAGAAUGAGACCCAGCCAAGCUGAGGAUGGGGAUCACCCUCUGGCAGGGUCAUGGCAAUCCUUUCCUAAGGACUUCUGGAGGGAUGGGUGGAUAAGGGUGAGAUUGGCCCCCAGAGUCUUCCCCUGAGGGAAGGCACUAUCUGCCACCUACCUAGCAACAUCUUCCUCCCACCCUCCAUCAUCCUGGCACUGAGGGGACAUGUUACGGGGCCCGAGGCCUCCUGCACUCCUCCGACCCUAUUUAUCUCUGCUGAAACAGUGAGUCAUUUGUACUCCAUAAAGAACCUCUCGAACCCUGAAUAGGCCCACCCUGUUAGAAAGAUUCAGUUAUGACCAUUUUCCCAAUGGGAAAACUGAGGCCUCGGUGGUAAGUCACUUCUCAAAGGCCUCACAGCAAGUUCACAUCAGGGUUGAUUCCAGUGUGUUCACUUUGCCAAUUACCAGCAUCUUGGAUUAUGGCAGCCAAUUGGCUUGGAGGAGGUGAGAGGGAAAUGGAAAAGAGAUUGGACUUCAAGACCAGCCAGACAGGAAGGGUCCAGCUCAGCACAAGGGGUCUGGCCCAGGGACUUCCGCCUCAAUGGUUAGGGACAGCAACAUCAUGGGGUGGACAUCCACCCAACCCAGACCCUUUUUAUUCCUAAUACUCCCAGACCAACAGUGGGAAGUAUAGAGGGCCUUGCAGCGCCUGUGGGAAAGAACAUGGUAGCCCUUGGUCUUCCCUCCCUGCUGCCCUCUGCCCUGGAGUCAGAAAUAGUGGCUUAGAUCCAGAGUCUGGGUUGGAGCAGAAUUCACAUCCAGGUCCUAAUUCCCAAGUUUAGUAUUCUGCCUACUUGCCUUGCUACCCCUACCACCGCCGCCAAAGUGGCAAGCAAAGGCUUCGAAAAGGUGGGGUCCAGUGUCUCCUUAGGUGUGAGUACUAUGCAUUGGCUGCCAAGGCACCCCCCUCCCCCCACCUAGUAUCUGUUCUACACUCUGACAACCCAGGGGAUAGAAAAGAUACUGGACAUUUGAGGAACCUGGAGACGUCUUUUUCAUUUGCCUUCUCUGGAAGGAAAAGGAUGCUGGAUGACAGAACCUAGUGCUGGGGGCUUGGGAGCUAUACCGGCAGGGGUGGAGGGAAUAUGUGCUGGGGAGCCAAGGGUCCCUGGUAACAUCUAUUGUGAAUGGAAAUGAUACUCAGAGGGGCUAUGGCUGAACAACCCAGCCUCCAUGUCUCCUGGCCUAGCUAGAGUAAGGGUGCUCAAAGGGUACCUUGGUACCUGGAAAUAUCUACUCGGCCCACCAAUGCCUGCCUCUGCCCCAAAGAGAGACACCAGGCUCUUCCAGGAGGAGGUCUUCAUGGCCCAUCUGGCUCUGAUCAGCUGCUUUCCCCUUCUAUGGUUGGUGUUCAUUGGCUGCUUCACGAGCUGGCUAUGCGUCUCCACCAAUGGGGCUGACUUCUUGGCUCUACCUUCAUGCCCAGGCUGGAUCCAGGAUACAAUGUACACAAUCGCCUUGGCACCACCCUGCUCCCUGUAGGAAGCACAAGGGUCAUGCCAACCACACUCCUUCCAGCCCUUGGCAGCAAGGUUAUCUCAUCCAAGAGCCUGUCUGUCAAAAGAACUUGGCCUAGACCCUGCCCCUGACCUAAGACUUCCUGGUUUAGCCUUGGCCCUUGUAAGGACCUUUCUUCCUCAGCAAACAGCAUUGAGGCCCUACUAGGUGCCAAAUUCUGUGAUAAAAACUCAGGUUACAGAGCUGAAUUGACACCAGAUCUGCCCUGGGGGUAGUCAAAGUCAAGUUGGUGGUGUUACUGGGGGCGGGGUAAGAGUGAUGGACAGACAAGUGUAAGCAAUCAACUGUUACCAGAUGGAAGCCCAAGGACAGGAGGAGGGUCAGUUCUCUGGAGGGAGGGGGAUGGAGAGGGUGGUCAGGGGGCACGCAAAGAAUCCUGGAAUAUUUGCUCUGGAAGGAGCAUCAGGAAGCAAAGCCCAACGCUCUCACUGUGUGGAUGGGGAAACUGAGGCCCAGUCAGCAGACGUUACUUGGCCGGGGUCCCUAAGUGAGGUAGUGGCAGGUUCUUGGACCCCGAUUUCCAGUCAGGGCCCUUUUGGAGGUACUAGGUGUCCUUUCUGGUUUUCUGUAUCCAGAUCCUUGUGUCCUAACUCCAUUUUUGGAAAAACAUGUGACAUCUCUAUCCAAAGGUCAUGGUUACCCAGGAGGUGCCUGCUCAGGCCCAAGGAGCCAGGCACUGCCAGUCCUUCCUCCAGAGGCAGUGUGGCCUCUAGGCCUAGAAUGGGGUGGUUGAGUUUUCCUCUCUCUCUCUCUCUAUCUCUCUUGCAUUUUUGUGAAUCUAAUGAUGAACUUACGCUACCACACUUUUCCCUUCUCUUACACAUCUUACCUACUAAAGGAGGAAGUGCCACUUUAUUGUUUUGAGUUCAGUUGUCCUGCCCCGCCCCCAUCCCCAUCUGUGUGCCGUGUGCCCCCUCCAUCCC